ACCUGCAGUUCAGACUAGGUGAUCCACCUGAAGUUAAGCCGAUUUGGGCCUGGCCAGUAUGUGGAUGGGAAACCAACUGGGAAAGCUGGGUUGCUGCUGGUG
Molecule: ribosomal RNA, 102 nt
Filed under: Paramormyrops kingsleyae
Lineage: Eukaryota; Metazoa; Chordata; Actinopteri; Osteoglossiformes; Mormyridae
Source: RNAcentral